Molecule: unclassified non-coding RNA, 3361 nt
Filed under: Dimorphilus gyrociliatus
Lineage: Eukaryota; Metazoa; Annelida; Polychaeta; Dinophilidae
Description: pBPe domain-containing protein
Source: RNAcentral
UUAAGGCUUCUCAAAAAGAACUAGAUAGGGGACAGUUUUAUAUCAUUUAUAUAUUAUUCCUUUAUAACAUUGUAAAAGCUAUAUAAAAUUAGGUGUGCAUGUAAUAUUUAAAAAUGAGUUUGACCUUAAUUAUUGUGAUUAAACAAGAAAAAAUAACACCUUUUAGAUAAAUGUCAUUCUCUGAGCAGUCUUAACUUAAGAGAAAUAAAUGUGUAUAUUUUCAGUAAAUGUUUCUUAAAGUUAACUUUAUUGUUACAGACAGUAGGAAAUGAUAAAAGAUUGUAUGCUAAUAUUAUAAAAUAUAUGCAGUCUACUAUAUUUUUUUAUAUAUUGUAUACUUUAUUUAUAUAAGUCAUCUAAACUAGUCAAAAAUAAACUUUUGGUAAGAACAAAUUCAGAGAUCUGGGAGAUUUCUAUCCUAAUUUAUUAUCCUUCAGUAAAUUACUCCACCGACCCUGAAAAUCAGCAACCAAUCAAGGUAAUUUUUUUAAUCUAUAUUAUUUACAAACUAGCUAGACAUCUGUCUAAAUUUCUCGGCUUCUAAUUGUUUCGCUCUUCAUCUAGAAGGAUUAAUUAUAGAUUUUUUUCAGAGCUAUUAAAAGUGUGUCGAAGGAGAUAUAAUUAAUAUACUUGUUUACCUCAUAAUGCUAAAUGGCAAACUACUUCAAGUUUAAUAAAUUUUCUUUUUCAAGUUUAUUGUAAUAUAUUCUGAUUAAAAAGUCAAAUUGAAAAUGAGAGGUUGAUUUAUUUUUAACAGAAGCUACAUGUAAAUCACAUGAAAAUUAAUACAUCUAAUAAUAAGCAAUACAGUGUAAUAAAUAAUACAAGUAUUUUUAGAAAUAUGAUUAUGAAGUUUUACUUCAUAUCGUUCUUUUAGCACAAAAUACAUUCUUUUUAGAUAUAGAAGAUUUCAAUUGAUUGCUAUGAAAUACAAAUUAAUAAAAUGCCCUGACAAGUGAAAUAGAUUAAUUAGUAUCUUUGUUGAGUCUUGUAUUCGGAAUAAAUUUAUACCCUAUAGUUUUAUUAUGACUCUUUUAAUAUAUUUUCAUCACAAAGAGAAAAGAAUGCUAGAAGUGAUCAAAGAUAAGUACUACCUAUUUAUAACCCUAUUAUUUAUCAAUAUAAAUUUAGUAUCUAGUAUACAUAUAUAUAAAUAUAGCAAAAUGCGAUUGCCUUAGGUAAUAUUUCUUAUUACUUUAUAAAAUAUUUUUAUAGAUUGAAGUUCAAACAACAAAUUUUUUUAUUUUAUAGUCUAAACAGUACGCGAACAAUCGUCAAUAAGUAUCUCAGUUUAUCAAUAGUCCUUUUUUUAUUGACGCGGAAUCAUGUGUUUUAACCAGUAAUAUAAGAAAACCACAUUUUAACUCAAUACAUUAACUAUCAAGUAGGAAGAAGAAUGCCCUACUCUGUAAUGAAUUUGAUCAUAUUUCUCAUUUCUAUCAAAUACGCACUGUCACUCUCCGACAUACAUUUACAUAGAGAAAUGGAAGAAGGAAGAAAGCGAAGUUUCAGGCUUUCGUUAAUAACGUCCUCAAUGAUAUCUGCUCUUAAGACGACAAAAGCUAAUAAAGUUGUUUUUUUUGGCAAUAAUACAUUUCUUGAGAAUGAUUUAAUUGAACGUACAAACAAAAUUGGAAAGACAGCUAUUUUUAGCAAUGGUCAAUGGUUAAACGAAUGGUCUUCCAAUCCGGAAAUGUAUGAAUAUGUUAUAUAUACUUCUAGUCUUAAUUAUGUAAAAGACACCUUGUUAAAGAGUCGUAAAUUAAAAAUACUUGGCCCAUUAUUUAAUUGGCUAAUUUACAUGGAAAAUUAUGAUUUUAAAGAAAUUGAGAAGGCCUUUACUAACUUACUAUACCCAGGUGAUAGUAUUUUAUUACUUAUUGAAAAUAACGGUAUCAUAGAAUACUAUCAAUGGUUCGUUGGAAACUUUAGAUUAAUUGGUCAUUUUACAAGAGAUAAAAUACGAAAAAAUGCUCCAUUUUUUCUCCCUUUUCAUGGUUUUUACGGGCGAGAAUUCACAAUUGUUGCUACUCCAUUGGAUUUCCUACAAUUUAGAAUUGUUAGAAAGGGAAAGGUGUUUUAUGUUGGAAUAUUUUUUAAUAUUUUUAAUAUGUUAGCUGAAAGACUAAAAUUCAGGUAUAGAAUAAUUGAACCUAAAGAAGCAGCUAUCGGAACUUUAAUUAACGGAACUUAUAAUGGAGCCAUGGGUAUGAUUUAUAGAAAGGAAGCUGAUAUUGGAGUUGGAGCUUUUACUGUUACGGCUCAGAGACUGAAAGCCGUAGAUUUUCUCUCAGUUACUCAAACAGAAGCCCUGACAAUUUUAAUGAAAAGGCCAAAUCCUCAAUUAUUGUCCAGUGUAUUUUUCACACAGACUUUUAAAAUUGAAGUAUGGAUGUGUUUUAUAUCUUCGGUUACGCUAAGCUUUGUAGCUUUAUUAUUUUUCUCGAAAUACAACUUAAAAGAAGAAGGAUUUGGUCUACGCGUCAAAUCUUUUGACGAAGACUAUUCUCUUUUUAGACACUGCUUUUGGUAUGCAUUUGGAGCGGCUAUUAAUCAAGGCGGAAUAUUACCAUCUGUUGGAAAGACAUCCGUAAGAGCUUUAGUAGGAUCUAUGUGGUUGACUUGGAUCAUGAUUACGGCUAUUUAUACUGGAAAUUUAGUAGCUAUUAUGAGCGUUAGAAAGUACAAGUUACCUGUCAAUAAUCUUGAGGAUGCUGUCUCAAAUAAAGAUUUUAAAUUAAUUAUUUUAGGAAAUUCUGGCCAUGAGACAAUAUUCAAAACAGCAGAUUCGGGAGUAUUCAAAAAAGCAUGGGAGAAAAUAAUCCAAGAUCCGCAAGAAAAUAUUGUACCUGAUCUAAAAACUGGUAUAGAAAAAGCUAAGCAAGAAAAUACCGGAUAUAUCAGUACUAGAUCCGUUGUUAAUUUAGUAUCUCAUCUAGAUUGUGAAUUAACAACAACCGACGAAAAGUAUGACUUUCUUCCAAACGGUGUCACAUUUGCUGUUCAAAAAGGGUGGGGCUAUCAAAAUCUUUUUAACAAGAUAUUGCUAGAAAUCAGUUUGGAGCCGGGAUUAAAUGAAAAAUGGCUCAGGACAUAUAAUUUAACGCAGAAUCCUAGCUGCAAAGAUUCUGAUUCGACAGAAUCUAAUGCAAUAGAUCUUGCAACAUAUUCUGGAUCUUUUUACAUAAUUGCGAUAGGAUUCGGACUUGCAUUGCUUUCAAUUACCAUCGAAUUUAUCAAGUCAUAUUUACACUUUAAAAAACUCCGAAGAACUAUUCAUUCAAAUUUUUAAUAAUUAUUUAUAGAAUACACUAUAUUUAUAUGAAAAGUCUUAUUUAUAGUUAGAACUCUCUUUUUGUUU